CCCACAGUAGAGAUUUUGGUCCAUAGUAGUCUGGCUUCAAAACAGUGUGCCACGGCUGGGGAUUUAGCUCAGUGGUUUGACCACCUGCCUCACAAAUGCAAAGUCCCGAGUUCAAUCCCCAGUACUAAGAAGAAGAAGAAGAAGAGGAGGAGGAGGAGGAGGAGGAGGAGGAGGAGGAGGAGGAGGAGCAGGAAACAAAACAGUGUGGCAUGUCAGAGGGGCAUCAGAGGAGGAACAGUCCGUGGCAGGGUAGGCAGGAAGCAGCAAGCAGUCUUCCUUCUGUCCGUUUUAUCCCAUCCAGGCUACAAGCCUUUUGGGUGGUGCCACCCACAUCCAGGAUGGGGCUUCCAUUAUCCACACCCAGAACUAUGCUAAACCAAUCAGUAGACUAAUUUAGUGCCACACACCUUUAAUCCAGUAUCACACACCCAGGAUCCAGCCAGGUUUUAAAAGCCCCACCUAAGAGUGCGUAAGGCUUGGAGGGGCAUCUAGAUACAACUCAUAGCAAUCCUCUUACAUUGUCUCAAGUUUGGAGUUCUGUGUGACAGAGACAUUAACUUCUGUCCUUUUACUGUAAUCAAUUUUUUUUGUUGUUUUAUUUGGAGAUACAGCCUCACUAUGUAGCCCAGGCUGGACUUGAACUCAUGGUGAUCCUCCUGCCUCAGCCUCUUGAGUGCUGGGAUUACAGAUGUACACCACCAUGACAGCUCUAUAAUCAUUAUUAAAGCAGCCAAAGCAGCACCCUAGGUACUGGAGUGGCAGGGCUUCACUUGGCCAGCUGUAGGGAACAGGGAAAGGGGACAUUACUAGAACCUCUGCAGUAAGUCCUAGUCUCCUGCGAGCCACCGCAGCACAAGGUGAAUUACAGGAAAGGUAGAAAAAUGAGACUGAGAAGAAGCUGAGCUUUGGGCCUGAUCAGUGCUGCUCUGGGCGGCAAAGACGAAAGCCCCCAGCUUGCAGCACCUUUUAUUCAGUACUCAGUACAUCAGGAGAAACACAUGUAACAAAUGACUGCAGGUGACGGAAAUCUAAGAACAAUGAGGAACUGAGUAGAUGAAGAUUUUGUUCCUCCCAGGAUGUCUUCAGCUGGUGUAAUCUUGUCCUGGAGCAUCACAGCAUCACCGGAUCACUGAGGUCUCAGUUGUGACCAGAGGCCAAAAUGGAAUUAUGUCUCAAAAUGCCAUAGCUGGCCUGUAGGCAGGAGAACUAGGAUUUUCCCUUAAAAUUAUAGCAUUGUCGGUAGCAUCGCUCCCAACAGCCGGCAGUUCUCCAGGACAGUCCCUAUGAGGGGACAUCCAUAGCGCCCUGGAGAUGGGUGCAUGGGAGGGGGCUGCAGACCAAGGCCCUGUCCUCUCGGGCAUAAUCCCCCGGCGCUGUCUGGGGGCGCAUGGGCUGGGCCGGGAGGGUCACCUCAGAGCCAACCUGGGACAGGUCGCGCCCGGUCUUCACCGAGGCCUCGGCUCUGCUGUCAUCCUGUUUCAGCAAUCCUCGGCCCCGCACUCAUCCAGUGGGGAGAGGACUCAGGACGCGGUAGGAGGGUCAGUGAAGCCACAUUUCUGUCUUUCAGGUCGGCUGGGGCGUGUCCUCCUACCACCUGCCACUUCUGUGACUCACUGUGGGCCGGGCUCUCCGCUUUCAACACCAAGUCACGAUGGCGGGCAGCGGGGAGGGGCAGCUCGGCGGCCUAGCGGUACCGGGCAGUGGCCGUCGGGAGGUGGAGCCGGGCGCUGCCUAGACGCCCCCGGAGGGGCCCCGGGGUGGGGGUGCCCGGGGCUGGGCCCGGUCACUCCUCUCUCAGAUGGGGAGACUCCAGGAAUAGCUCCCGAUAACCGCAGGAGCCCUGAGCUCCGCCAUUCUUUCUCUUACGGCUUCUCUUGACUCGGCGUCCGCACUGGCAAAGGGUCGGUAACGGCAUCCUCUUCUCCUGCGUCACAAGCUUGUGGUGAAUUGCAGAAAAAGGGCUUCGGGUGGUGAAAGCGGGGCCAGUGGAGGUGGAGACUCUAGCGCUAGGGGAACUUCCGCCUCAGGAAGAGCCUCGCUGGCAAAAAGACCCAGGCUAUCAGCCCCCAGCCAAAAAACAAAGAAAACCAAACAGAGCAAACUGCACUACACAGAGGAGAGCGAAGACGUGGAUGUGUCCGUCUACAACUGAGGAAGGAAAGCAGGAAGGUCGGAGGUCGGAGGUCAACGCAGAAAAGGUAGC
Molecule: long non-coding RNA, 2203 nt
Organism: Heterocephalus glaber (naked mole-rat)
Lineage: Eukaryota; Metazoa; Chordata; Mammalia; Rodentia; Bathyergidae
Source: Ensembl